UGGGUUGUGGCUUAGUGAUAAAGUGCUUGCCUAGCAUGCAUGAGGCAUUGGGUUUAAACCCCAGCACCACAU
Non-coding RNA from Ictidomys tridecemlineatus (thirteen-lined ground squirrel), 72 nucleotides. The record is from Rfam. NCBI's taxonomy places the organism in Eukaryota, Metazoa, Chordata, Mammalia, Rodentia, Sciuridae.